UGGGGGAUAUUGCACAAUGGGCGAAAGCCUGAUGCAGCGACGCCGCGUGGGGGAUGAAGGCCUUCGGGUUGUAAACUUCUUUUGCUCUAAAAAAGGGGCACAAGGGGGUGUGUUGGGUGUAGGGGUUGAUUAGCGCCGGCUAACUACGUGCCACCAGCCGCGGUAAUACGUAGGGCGCGAGCGUUGUCCGGAAUUAUUGGGCGUAAAGGGCUUGUAGGUGGCUGGUUGCGUCUGUCGUGAAAGCUCAUGGCUUAACUGUGGGUUUGCGGUGGGUACGGGCUGGCUUGAGUGCAGUAGGGGAUGCUGGAAUUCCUGGUGUAGCGGUGGAAUGCGCAGAUAUCAGGAGGAAUACCGGUGGCGAAGGCGGGUCUCUGGGCUGUUACUGACACUGAGGAGCGAAAGCAUGGGGAGCGAACAGG
This 419-nucleotide ribosomal RNA is filed under the name bacterium. RNAcentral's name for it is "partial 16S ribosomal RNA". It matches the Rfam family "Bacterial small subunit ribosomal RNA", at positions 355 to 776 of the family's 1533-position model. The record is from RNAcentral.